UUUUAGAGAAAAAACAGACAGAGCUGCAGAUGGUGAACUGUUACCUAUGAGAAACAAGAGACUCCUAAUAUCUCCACAAACACUCAGGGAUACCCCAUCAGAAGUCACUAAGACUGAUGAGAACUUUACACUUAUGAUCUCAUAAUCGGCCUGGGAAUGGACCAUGCCACUCAUCUGGAAAAUCUGAGUUUGGAAAGUUUUUCUGUUUUCAUAUAUAGCAAAGAAAAGCUGAGAGCAUACUUCAUGGAACUGCAAAGGGACAGAGCAGUAGAGGUCCCAACUUCAUGAAACUGAAGAAACUUCCAGAGAAAGAGUAACCAACGGAUGAACAUUCUGGUCAAGACUUGGUAACUCCCAGAGACCUUUAGAUUGCAAGUCAAUGUUCCUUUAGAGAUAGUGAGGACAAGAUGACUUGAGAUAUUUGUGAUGACAAAACAUAUGUGAAAUCAGACUGUGUGAUGUGUGUGCAUGCACUGUGUCCAAAAAAGAAAAGAAAAGAAAAGAAAAAUGGUAUCUAAGGCACCUAGUAAGAAUUUCUACAGGAACCUGAUGUGAUACAACCAGAUACAACAGACCGAUGUAACCCAGCUGCCCACUGUGGGACAGAAGAUUUCAAGAGAGCACAAGAGCUGACUCCAACAUAAACAGUAGGGAAAAAAAAGAUUGGACUGUUGCAAUCACUGACAAGUGCUAGAACUUAACUCAUGCUCAGAUUUCAGAAAUGCAGUUAACUCCUACUAAGUACCCUAAAAUCAAGCAAGCCAUAUCCCAGCUAACAGUCCACGAUGCAAUGUUCACAACGUUACAGAAAUCAAAAUGAGAAACAAGACAGGAUUGAGGAGUACAUUUGGAAAAGUACACAGACACAGAACGGUUAAAAAGAGGAAAAAUAAGAGUUCCAAGUCAAAGCCAAAGCCCAGAGUGAUUUCAGUGGAAGGCGAGACCUGGCUCACUAUGGCACAAAAUGAAAUAAAGCACUGUCAUUCCGCUAGUA
Gallus gallus (chicken) is the source of this 994-nucleotide long non-coding RNA. RefSeq lists it as uncharacterized. The record is from RefSeq and is a predicted model, not a curated record. Lineage: Eukaryota; Metazoa; Chordata; Aves; Galliformes; Phasianidae. The transcript has 3 exons.